AACGAACGCUGGCGGCAUGCCUAACACAUGCAAGUCGAACGAUGCCUUCGGGCAUAGUGGCGCACGGGUGCGUCACGCGUGGGAAUCUGCCUUUCGGUUUGGAAUACCUCAGGGAAACUUGAGCUAAUACAGGAUAACGUCGCAUGACCAAAGAUUUAUCACGGAAAGAUGAGCCCGCGUAGGAUUAGCUAGUUGGUGAGGUAAAGGCUCACCAAGGCGUCGAUCGUUAGCUGGUCUGAGAGGCUGAGCCGCCACUCUGAGGCUGGGAAGCGGCCGAGACUACUACGGGAGGCAGGAAAGGGGAAUAUAGCAAAAUGGGGUAAGGCCUGAACGAGCUAGGCCGGGAAAGCGAUGAAGGUCUUAGAGUAGUAAAGCUCUUUUACCCGGGAAGAUAAUGACGGUACCGAGAGAAUAAGCCCCGGCUAACUCCGUG
Molecule: ribosomal RNA, 433 nt
Filed under: uncultured bacterium
Lineage: Bacteria
Description: partial 16S ribosomal RNA
Rfam family: Bacterial small subunit ribosomal RNA
Source: RNAcentral